GACGAACGCUGGCGGCGUGCUUAACACAUGCAAGUCGAACGGAAAGGCCCUGCUUUUGUGGGGUGCUCGAGUGGCGAACGGGUGAGUAACACGUGAGUAACCUGCCCUUGACUUUGGGAUAACUUCAGGAAACUGGGGCUAAUACCGGAUAGGAGCUCCUGCUGCAUGGUGGGGGUUGGAAAGUUUCGGCGAUUGGGGAUGGACUCGCGGCUUAUCAGCUUGUUGGUGGGGUAGUGGCUUACCAAGGCUUUGACGGGUAGCCGGCCUGAGAGGGUGACCGGCCACAUUGGGACUGAGAUACGGCCCAGACUCCUACGGGAGGCAGCAGGGGGGAAUAUUGCACAAGGGGCGGAAGCCUGAUGCAGCAACGCCGCGUGCGGGAUGACGGCCUUCGGGUUGUAACCCGCUUUCGCCUGUGACGAAGCGGGAGUGACGGUAAGGGGUAAAGAAGCACCGGCUAACUACGUG
Molecule: ribosomal RNA, 468 nt
Filed under: uncultured bacterium
Lineage: Bacteria
Description: partial 16S ribosomal RNA
Rfam family: Bacterial small subunit ribosomal RNA
Source: RNAcentral